Molecule: ribosomal RNA, 443 nt
Filed under: uncultured bacterium
Lineage: Bacteria
Description: bacterial SSU rRNA
Rfam family: Bacterial small subunit ribosomal RNA
Source: RNAcentral
AACGCGAAGAACCUUACCUGGGCUCGAACGGCUUUGGAACAUCUUUGGAAACAGAGACUUCUCGCAAGAGACCGGAGUCGAGGUGCUGCAUGGCUGUCGUCAGCUCGUGUCGUGAGAUGUUGGGUUAAGUCCCGCAACGAGCGCAACCCUUGUCCUGUGUUGCCACUCCCGUAAGGGAAGCACUCUCAGGAGACCGCCAGCGAUAAGUUGGAGGAAGGUGGGGAUGAUGUCAAGUCAUCAUGGCCUUUAUGUCCAGGGCUACACACGUGCUACAAUGGACGGUACAAAGCGCUGCAAACCCGCGAGGGGGAGCCAAUCGCAAAAAACCGUUCUCAGUUCGGAUCGCAGGCUGCAACUCGCCUGCGUGAAGCUGGAAUCGCUAGUAAUGGCGUAUCAGAACGAUGCCGUGAAUACGUUCCCGGGCCUUGUACACACCGACGCAC